UACGGGAGGCAGCAGUGGGGAAUUUUGGACAAUGGGCGCAAGCCUGAUCCAGCAAUGCCGCGUGCAGGAUGAAGGCCUUCGGGUUGUAAACUGCUUUUGUACGGAACGAAAAGCCUUGGGUUAAUACCCUGGGGUCAUGACGGUACCGUAAGAAUAAGCACCGGCUAACUACGUGCCAGCAGCCGCGGUAAUACGUAGGGUGCAAGCGUUAAUCGGAAUUACUGGGCGUAAAGCGUGCGCAGGCGGUUUUGUAAGACAGAGGUGAAAUCCCCGGGCUCAACCUGGGAACUGCCUUUGUGACUGCAAGGCUAGAGUACGGCAGAGGGGGAUGGAAUUCCGCGUGUAGCAGUGAAAUGCGUAGAUAUGCGGAGGAACACCGAUGGCGAAGGCAAUCCCCUGGGCCUGUACUGACGCUCAUGCACGAAAGCGUGGGGAGCAAACAGGAUUAGAUACCCUGGUAGUCCACGCCCUAAACGAUGUCAACUGGUUGUUGGGUCU
This 498-nucleotide ribosomal RNA is filed under the name uncultured bacterium. Its description in RNAcentral is "bacterial SSU rRNA". It matches the Rfam family "Bacterial small subunit ribosomal RNA", at positions 340 to 830 of the family's 1533-position model. The record is from RNAcentral.